RNAcentral lists this ribosomal RNA (426 nucleotides) under uncultured bacterium. Its description in RNAcentral is "bacterial SSU rRNA". It matches the Rfam family "Bacterial small subunit ribosomal RNA", at positions 355 to 774 of the family's 1533-position model. The record is from RNAcentral.
UAGGGAAUCUUCCGCAAUGGGCGCAAGCCUGACGGAGCAACGCCGCGUGAGUGAUGAAGGUUUUCGGAUCGUAAAGCUCUGUUGCCAAGGAAUAACGCCUCGGAGAGUAACUGCUCUGAGGGUGACGGUACUUGAGAAGAAAGCCCCGGCUAACUACGUGCCAGCAGCCGCGGUAAUACGUAGGGGGCAAGCGUUGUCCGGAAUUAUUGGGCGUAAAGCGCGCGCAGGCGGUCUUUUAAGUUUGGUGUUUAAGCCCGGGGCUCAACCCCGGUUCGCACUGAAAACUGGGAGACUUGAGUGCAGGAGAGGAAAGAGGAAUUCCACGUGUAGCGGUGAAAUGCGUAGAGAUGUGGAGGAACACCAGUGGCGAAGGCGGCUUUCUGAACUGUAACUGACGCUGAGGCGCGAAAGCGUGGGGAGCAAACA